RNAcentral lists this ribosomal RNA (492 nucleotides) under uncultured bacterium. Its description in RNAcentral is "partial 16S ribosomal RNA". It matches the Rfam family "Bacterial small subunit ribosomal RNA", at positions 29 to 507 of the family's 1533-position model. The record is from RNAcentral.
AGUGAACGCUGGCGGUAGGCCUAACACAUGCAAGUCGAACGGCAGCACAGUAAGAGCUUGCUCUUACGGGUGGCGAGUGGCGGACGGGUGAGGAAUACAUCGGAAUCUACUUUUUCGUGGGGGAUAACGUAGGGAAACUUACGCUAAUACCGCAUACGACCUACGGGUGAAAGCAGGGGAUCUUCGGACCUUGCGCGAUUGAAUGAGCCGAUGUCGGAUUAGCUAGUUGGCGGGGUAAAGGCCCACCAAGGCGACGAUCCGUAGCUGGUCUGAGAGGAUGAUCAGCCACACUGGAACUGAGACGCGGUACAGACUCCUACGGGAGGCAGCAGUGGGGAAUAUUGGACAAUGGGCGCAAGGCUGAUCCAGCCAUACCGCGUGGGUGAAGAAGGCCUUCGGGUUGUAAAGCCCUUUUGUUGGGAAAGAAAAGCAGCAGGUUAAUACCCCGCUGUUCUGACGGUACCCAAAGAAUAAGCACCGGCUAACUUCGUG